AUUCAAUAGAGUGACUACUGCUUUGACUGAGUUUCAGAAAUCAACUUUUUGAAAUUAAAACUUAUUCAAUUUUAAUGUAUUUCAUCAUAACAUAAGGUUCUUGAACUAGAAACUACCUAAGAUAAUGUUAUAUUCUCUCCUUAACAACAGUUAGACUUCUUUACACUUACCUGAGGCUUCUCUGAGAAGAUUCCUACCCCUUCUCCCUUAGCAGCACUGCCUUCUUUUAUUACAAUUACUUCAAUGCAGUCUGGAUAGAAUGUGUUUGCUAGAUUUUGUUCCUCUGACUCCAUAUCUAGAAUCAGUACAACCAAUAGUAAAAAAAAAAAAAAAAAUUAAAAAAAUGUAGCAGAUGAAUUCAGAACCCACAGGAACAUUCUUAUCAUAUUUUUGAGGUUUUGACUAUAAAGGUAGGUAUAGAGGGAACUUGGAGAGUCAUGUAAAAAAACUAUAGUAGUAUGGAAAUAUCCAUAGAAGAUCAGUAAUUCAUUUAAAACAAUUGAACUGCAGCCGUAGUCAGCAUAGUGUCUCCUUGUUAUACGUUUUUUUUUUUUUUAUCCUUAGCAACAGAUAUGAGAUCCUUAUUUCAAGAAAAAUAAGAUACUUUACAUGCCAGAAGAUUUUUUUUGAUGACAGUACCCCCUCCUAUUCUUCAUUUUUUAAAACAACAACCAAAUUGGUAGGGAGGCAGCCAAAAUUUGAGGUACCAAUGCUUCUCGAACAGAUGUCGCACCAUUAUUUUUUAGCUCGUUUAGAUGAAUAAACAUGUUAAACUGUGAAGUAUUACAUUUUAGAUUUUUUCAUUAAAAAAAGAGACAAUCUGUUUACUGUCCUAAUUGAGACAACAAUCCUUGUGGUUGCCAGUUUUGGCAGUCAUAACAAUGAACUAUAAAUAUUUG
Molecule: long non-coding RNA, 899 nt
Filed under: Marmota monax (woodchuck)
Lineage: Eukaryota; Metazoa; Chordata; Mammalia; Rodentia; Sciuridae
Source: RNAcentral